Molecule: unclassified non-coding RNA, 84 nt
Filed under: soil metagenome
Description: partial internal transcribed spacer 1
Source: RNAcentral
CUGUGAUUUAAACAUUCUACACUGCGUGAGCGCACUUACAACACACAAACGUAUGUACCGUCGUCAACAACCACAAAACAAACA